This is a long non-coding RNA of Suricata suricatta (meerkat), 819 nucleotides long. RefSeq lists it as uncharacterized. The transcript is spliced from 4 exons. The record is from RefSeq and is a predicted model, not a curated record. Lineage: Eukaryota; Metazoa; Chordata; Mammalia; Carnivora; Herpestidae.
UGUAAGAGAGACAAGGCAUGCAGUAUCUCAUUUAACCCUCACAAGAAACCCAUUUUCUCAUUUCUCUUGGUUCAAGGACACUGAAAACUAAGAGCUACAUCCUUGCCCAAAUCAUCAGGCCAGCAACGAUUUCAUCCUGAUUGGAGAUGGAAGGCAAGUCCUCCCCUGACGAUGUCACUGCUUGCAGAGCAGCGGCCCCUGGUGGACUUCUGGGUGAUAUUCUCUGGCCCAGCCAUGCACACAAGCCUUUGGCACUCACCUUCUGUUAACGCAGCGGCAGGCCUGGUUCCUAGUUGUCAUUGCCUGACACCUUCUGGUGAGAAGAGGAAGGCACCAGCUAAAAACUUGAAAGGACAUCAGUAGCAUGGGUGAAAAUCCUGAAGUCCCAGAAGGAACAUGCUUGAAAAAAUGCCCACUUCACUAAUGCUGUCCAUGCCAUUGAUGAUGAUUUCAUGUGGCAAGUUGUGGCCACUGCUGACCUCAAGUUUAAAAUGAAAUUCCAAAGUGACUUUUAUUCUUCAUCCCAUGUUGACCUCAUAGAAGAAUCUAGAUGUAUGAAGUAAAAGCCUUUGCUCUCUCUUUCAUUUGUCAGGGCAGUCAUGCCAUUCAGGAAUAAAAUCCCCAGCUUCCAGUGACUAAAGCAGCCUGUCCUCAUGUAUAAGUUCUCAAGAAAGCGCCAGAGCUGGACAGUUUUGCCUGUGACGCGCUGACCUUCUAUCUAGGGACAAUGUGGCCGCCUAGCUUUGGCUGCUAUCUGAAAUGAGUUUGAGUGUCUCAGCUCAUUUCCUAAGAAACACAAAUAAAGCCCACAUAAUAAAG